RNAcentral lists this small RNA (578 nucleotides) under Pan troglodytes (chimpanzee). RNAcentral's name for it is "processed transcript". Lineage: Eukaryota; Metazoa; Chordata; Mammalia; Primates; Hominidae. The record is from RNAcentral.
AUGAACAGAACCAGGACAGGGAGGCUGGCCGGAGGUUCCUGCAGAGGGAGCGUCAAGGCCCUGUGCUGCUGUCCUUGGGGGCCAGAGGGGUUGCCCAUCAUGCCCACUGGCAGGAGAGAGGGAACUGACCCACUUGCUCCUACCAGCUUCUGAAGGUGACACUGAGUCCCAGGUGACGCCGCACCACCAAAGAAGAUAAUCUCAGGAGACACUGAAGAAGGGAGGCUCUGUGGACAGAGGAGCAGUAACAAUCCCCACUCUCCAAUUGUGGAAGAGUUCCAAGUCCCAUACAACAAACUCCAGGUGAUCUUUAAGUCAGACUUUUCCAAUGAAGAGCGUUUUACGGGGUUUGCUGCAUACUAUGUUGCCACAGACAUAAAUGAAUGCACAGAUUUUGUAGAUGUCCCUUGUAGCCACUUCUGCAACAAUUUCAUUGGUGGUUACUUCUGCUCCUGCCCCCCGGAAUAUUUCCUCCAUGAUGACAUGAAGAAUUGUGGAGUUAAUUGCAGUGGGGAUGUAUUCACUGCACUGAUUGGGGAGAUUGCAAGUCCCAAUUAUCCCAAACCAUAUCCAGAGAA